GAUCAUGGCUCAGGAUGAACGCUAGCUACAGGCUUAACACAUGCAAGUCGAGGGGCAGCAUGAACUUAGCUUGCUAAGUUUGAUGGCGACCGGCGCACGGGUGAGUAACACGUAUCCAACCUUCCGUUUACUCAGGGAUAGCCUUUCGAAAGAAAGAUUAAUACCUGAUAGUAUGGUGAGAUUGCAUGAUAACACCAUUAAAGAUUUAUUGGUAAGCGAUGGGGAUACGUUCCAUUAGG
Molecule: ribosomal RNA, 239 nt
Filed under: uncultured bacterium
Lineage: Bacteria
Description: partial 16S ribosomal RNA
Rfam family: Bacterial small subunit ribosomal RNA
Source: RNAcentral